AUUGAACGCUGGCGGCAGGCUUAACACAUGCAAGUCGAACGAGUGGCGGACGGGUGAGUAAUGCUUGGGAAUCUAGCUUAUGGAGGGGGAUAACCACGGGAAACUGUAGCUAAUACCGCGUACCAUAGGAUGAGCCCAAGGUGGAUGUGGUAGUUGGGGAGGUAAAGGCUAACAAAGACGACGAUCUCUAGCUGGUCUGAGAGGAUGACAGGCCCCACUGGGACUGAGACACGGCCCAAACUCCUACGGGAGGCAGCAGUGGGGAAUUUUGCGCAAUGGGGGCAACCCUGACGCAGCCAUGCCGCGUGUAUGAAGAAGGCCUUAGGGUUGUAAAGUACUUUCAGCGGGGAGGCGUUACCCGCAGAAGAAGCACCGGCUAACUCCGUGCCAGCAGCCGCGGUAAUAC
This 406-nucleotide ribosomal RNA is filed under the name uncultured bacterium. RNAcentral's name for it is "partial 16S ribosomal RNA". It matches the Rfam family "Bacterial small subunit ribosomal RNA", at positions 30 to 526 of the family's 1533-position model. The record is from RNAcentral.